CUUUCAGCAGAUCACUCCACUAUAUAAAGUAAAAAUAUAGGUAUAUAAAUUUUUGCUAUCAUCAUGAUCUAACUGAAAACUAAAAUCAGUAUAUUCUACAAGUUUAAAGUCAGUAUCUCCAUAUAUUAACCAUUGAUCCUUAGUAUUUUUUAAAUACUUAAAGAUUGUCUUCAUAAUCUUUCAAUGAUUUUCAUCUGGAUC
This 201-nucleotide long non-coding RNA is filed under the name Elaeis guineensis (African oil palm). RNAcentral's name for it is "long non-coding RNA (EGUI_LNC034734)". The record is from RNAcentral. Lineage: Eukaryota; Viridiplantae; Streptophyta; Magnoliopsida; Arecales; Arecaceae.